AGAGUUUGAUCAUGGCUCAGGACGAACGCUGGCGGCGUGCCUAAUACAUGCAAGUCGAGCGAGCUUGCCUAGAUGAUUUUAGUGCUUGCACUAAAUGAAACUAGAUACAAGCGAGCGGCGGACGGGUGAGUAACACGUGGGUAACCUGCCCAAGAGACUGGGAUAACACCUGGAAACAGAUGCUAAUACCGGAUAACAACACUAGACGCAUGUCUAGAGUUUGAAAGAUGGUUCUGCUAUCACUCUUGGAUGGACCUGCGGUGCAUUAGCUAGUUGGUAAGGUAACGGCUUACCAAGGCAAUGAUGCAUAGCCGAGUUGAGAGACUGAUCGGCCACAUUGGGACUGAGACACGGCCCAAACUCCUACGGGAGGCAGCAGUAGGGAAUCUUCCACAAUGGACGAAAGUCUGAUGGAGCAACGCCGCGUGAGUGAAGAAGGGUUUCGGCUCGUAAAGCUCUGUUGGUAGUGAAGAAAGAUAGAGGUAGUAACUGGCCUUUAUUUGACGGUAAUUACUUAGAAAGUCAUGGCUAACUACGUGCCAGCAGCCGCGGUAAUACGUAGGUGGCAAGCGUUGUCCGGAUUUAUUGGGCGUAAAGCGAGUGCAGGCGGUUCAAUAAGUCUGAUGUGAAAGCCUUCGGCUCAACCGGAGAAUUGCAUCAGAAACUGUUGAACUUGAGUGCAGAAGAGGAGAGUGGAACUCCAUGUGUAGCGGUGGAAUGCGUAGAUAUAUGGAAGAACACCAGUGGCGAAGGCGGCUCUCUGGUCUGCAACUGACGCUGAGGCUCGAAAGCAUGGGUAGCGAACAGGAUUAGAUACCCUGGUAGUCCAUGCCGUAAACGAUGAGUGCUAAGUGUUGGGAGGUUUCCGCCUCUCAGUGCUGCAGCU
Molecule: ribosomal RNA, 886 nt
Filed under: uncultured bacterium
Lineage: Bacteria
Description: bacterial SSU rRNA
Rfam family: Bacterial small subunit ribosomal RNA
Source: RNAcentral